This is a long non-coding RNA of Odocoileus virginianus texanus, 401 nucleotides long. RefSeq lists it as uncharacterized. The record is from RefSeq and is a predicted model, not a curated record. Lineage: Eukaryota; Metazoa; Chordata; Mammalia; Artiodactyla; Cervidae.
UCCCAGUCCGGCUCCCAACCCCCGGCGCGGCAAACCUCGCGAGUCACGUCCAGUCAACAGCCUUCCCUGAGCCGAAGCCGGUCACUCAAUGUUGUCUCUCCUGCUAAUCCUCACAGGGCUGGGCCAGCUGGCCUCCGCGGGCCAUCACUCUGAAACAUCACUUCUACACAUUACAGUGCCACAGAAGACUGGGACAGAUAAUGACAGUGGAAUUUCAAAAACGCAUAAUUGUGGCUAUGCAAUAUUGUCAAAAGCCAUAACGUGGAAAAAAAAUAAUACCAAGAAACUCACCAUUAACUGACCUGAUUCAAGAAGGAAAAAAAUCUGCUUUUCUCCCCUUUUGUGAUGGCUUAAAACUUCAGUCUCACAAAGCAAAAAUAAAUCCUGUGAGUGCAAGUAUG